This 279-nucleotide ribosomal RNA is filed under the name uncultured bacterium. RNAcentral's name for it is "partial 16S ribosomal RNA". It matches the Rfam family "Bacterial small subunit ribosomal RNA", at positions 506 to 784 of the family's 1533-position model. The record is from RNAcentral.
UGCCAGCAGCCGCGGUAAUACGUACUGGGCGAACGUUAUUCGGAAUCACUGGGCUUGAAGGGUGCGUAGGCGGCUUUCCAGGUCUGAUGUGAAAUCUUACGGCUCAACCGUAAAAUUGCGUUGGAAACCGGAAGGCUUGAGUGUGCUAGGGGUGUGUGGAACUUCCUGUGGAGCGGUGAAAUGUGUUGAUAUGGGAAGGAACGCCGGUGGCGAAGGCGGCUUUCUGGACCAAUACUGACGCUGAGAUGCGAAAGCGUGGGUAGCGAACAGGAUUAGAUA